Molecule: non-coding RNA, 72 nt
Organism: Phrynosoma platyrhinos (Desert horned lizard)
Lineage: Eukaryota; Metazoa; Chordata; Lepidosauria; Squamata; Phrynosomatidae
Source: the annotation of a GenBank genome assembly
GUCAGGGUGGCGUAGUGGUUUGAGCAUUGGACUACAACCCUGAAGACCAGGGUUCGAUUCUGUGCUCAACCA